Molecule: ribosomal RNA, 376 nt
Filed under: Stagmatoptera sp. MN274
Lineage: Eukaryota; Metazoa; Arthropoda; Insecta; Mantodea; Mantidae
Description: partial 12S ribosomal RNA
Source: RNAcentral
AGAUACCCUAUUAUUUUUAUUGUAAAAUUUUAAGUCUGAGUAUUAGUAGAUAUAAUCUUUAAACUUAAAGAAUUUGGCGGUAUUAUAGUCUACUUAGAGGAAUCUGUUAUAUAAUCGAUAAUCCACGUACAACCUUACUUAUAUGAAUUCUUGUAUAUCGCUGUUUGUGAAUAUAUUUUUAGAUGAAAUUUUCAGGAUAUAAUAAUAAUUAAAAUUUCAAGUCAAGGUGCAGUUAGUAUAUAAGUUAAAUAAUGGAUUACAAUAAAUUUUAUUUAUAUGAAUUUUUAUUGGAAUAAUAAUUUGAAGGUGGAUUUAAAUGUAAUUUUAUAAAGAUUGUUAAAAUGAUUUAAGCUCUAUAAUAUGUACACAUCGCCCG